Molecule: non-coding RNA, 177 nt
Filed under: Candidatus Desulfovibrio gallistercoris
Lineage: Bacteria; Pseudomonadati; Thermodesulfobacteriota; Desulfovibrionia; Desulfovibrionales; Desulfovibrionaceae
Description: 6S RNA
Rfam family: 6S / SsrS RNA
About the family: E. coli 6S RNA was the first non coding RNA to be sequenced, but its function was unknown until recently.
Source: RNAcentral
AACUCCCUGGGGUGUGCGUGAUUUAUGUCUUGGUGCUGACCUUACAAGCAUACAAAAGGGAGCCGUACCCGCUACCGGUGAGCAUGCCCGCAAGGGAAGCCUGAAGGGAGCGCCUCGGCGCCCACCUGGGAAACCAGGUUCUGCACCGAAGACAUGACACGGCACUCUGGGGCAUUU